ACACGACUACAUUAGAUACCCGGGUAGUCCCAGCCCUAAACGAUGCGCGUUAGGUGUAUCGGUGACCACGAGUCACCGAGGUGCCGAAGGGAAACCGUGAAACGUGCCGCCUGGGAAGUACGGUCGCAAAGGCUGAAACUUAAAGGAAUUGCGGGGGAGCACCACAACGGGUGGAGCCUGCGGUUUAAUUGGACUCAACGCCGGGAAGCUUACCGGAUAAGACAGCGGAAUGAUUGCCGGGCUGAAGACUCUGCAUGACCAGCUG
This 265-nucleotide ribosomal RNA is filed under the name uncultured archaeon. RNAcentral describes it as "partial 16S ribosomal RNA". It matches the Rfam family "Archaeal small subunit ribosomal RNA", at positions 717 to 982 of the family's 1478-position model. The record is from RNAcentral.